Regulatory RNA element from Virgibacillus necropolis, 129 nucleotides. It matches the Rfam family "Ribosomal protein L20 leader". Rfam says of the family: This family is a putative r-protein leader autoregulatory structure found in B. subtilis and other low-GC Gram-positive bacteria. The record is from Rfam. Lineage: Bacteria; Bacillati; Bacillota; Bacilli; Caryophanales; Bacillaceae.
UGAGACAAGUAGAGGCACCCGCUUCUCACCUGUUCAACGCAUACAUGCAGUUGGCUGGUUUCUAACUUCUUUAAAUAAAUGAUUAAAGUCGUGUGGGUGCAUAUAUUGUGCCCGCAUUUUUUUGUGCUU